UUUUCUGUAUAUACUUGAAAAAUAAUUUUAUCUAAUAAAUAUGUAUGAUGAUCAUAAUAAUUAUUUAGUCUUAUUACAUGCACCCUUCUUCCAAGGAAGUGCAAAGCUUUUAAACAAGCCACUUUUAAAAACUGUCACAUCCUAUUGCAUGAAGCAACAACCAGAGAAGCCCUGACUUCGCAUUUUAGUAUAUUAAUAGGCUCAAUUCCUAGCUUAACCUAGGUUGGCCCCUUGGAAGAUCUUAGGAGUGUUUUAUUAGGAAACAAAGUGAACAUAUAAAGGUUUGGUAAUAUCUGCACCCUGAUAUUAUUCUCAGUAUGCAUCCACAGCCUACAAAGCUAAAGCUCCUUCAGAGCCAAUAAUGCUGCAUGCUGGAAAGCAGAUCAGCAAAUAGCUCAAAUUUAUUCCCAAUCCAUAAUGCUGACCACAUAACAACAGGAAAACAGCCAUGAUAAUGCUAUCAUGGCGUGGUGAGUUGUUGUAACAAUAGCUCAAUGGCUUGAUAGCCUCUGCAGUAAAAUAUCUAGGCAUCUGAACUUUAAAAAAAAAUUGUAGCAAUUUUUAGUGAGAGCAGCAAAAACAUAUUUGUAACCGUAAGACACUGCUUCAUUUUCUUGCCUGUUAACCUUCCUGCUGGAGCAAUUGCUCCCCUGGCUGCAUUGUUUGAUGAUGAAGUGAUCAAUUUCUGGACACCCAGCAAGUUGCUGUAUAUUUGAAACUCUCCAGGGCUGGAGUAGGCAAUUAUUUUCACUUCCAGCUCAGCUUGGUAUGUUUAACUGAACACAAAUAACUUUCUAUGGAAAGUGAGUGCUUUUUGCCCAUCUGUUGGGCACACACAUUUCAGAGAUAAUGGUAAUAGCUCCACAUGUUUUCAGGAACUGUAUUUCAGGACUGAUUAAUUUUAUUCUUGCUCUCACAGCUUUUGGUUCCGAAGGGCCGUAGUCUUCAUGUACCUCAGCACUUCCUGAAGACUUCCUUGGUACUGUUCAAAGUAAGAUAUAACGAGUUGCUCAGUUGCAUACAUUCUUUACACCUUCAUUGCUUGUUCUCUCAGACAUGCUAUCAUACCCAAGGCACAUGUUGAGAUGGAAAGACACUGCAUCCGAAGUCAAAGGACCAAGGUUUUUGAUUCUCAAUACCCCCCUUGCAUGAUGGACAACGGACGUUUCACUCUGCACUUUGCUUCUUGAUUUCUUCAUUGAGGAACAGUAAAGUUGAAUCUGUUCCCGGCUGUCAGACUGCCAAGGGCUGUAGAAGCAUGGCACCAGCAUCUGCUCGACUUCUUAUGAGGCCUCAGGAAGCUUAUAAUCAUGGCAGAAAGUGAAGGGGAAGCAGGUGAUAAAAAUGAAACACAGAAAAAUAAAGAAACUUGUCCAAGCUUGUACAGUUGGUAAGAAACAGCUUUGAACCCAGGGAUUUGAACCCAGGCAAUUUGCUCCAUAAUCUGUGCUGCACUACCUGCCCUUGGGUUGUUAUAUAGGUUAGCUGUACUAUCAAUAAAAUGUGUGUAAUAAGAUCAA
Sapajus apella (tufted capuchin) is the source of this 1520-nucleotide long non-coding RNA. RefSeq lists it as uncharacterized. The record is from RefSeq and is a predicted model, not a curated record. The transcript is spliced from 3 exons. Lineage: Eukaryota; Metazoa; Chordata; Mammalia; Primates; Cebidae.